AAGCCCCGGCGCCUUUAUUGGGCGCUUAUACGAAUUUGCAMUUCAUGUUUUCUCGGGG
RNAcentral lists this transfer RNA (58 nucleotides) under Elasmodactylus tuberculosus (warty thick-toed gecko). RNAcentral describes it as "tRNA-Cys". The record is from RNAcentral. Lineage: Eukaryota; Metazoa; Chordata; Lepidosauria; Squamata; Gekkonidae.